Molecule: transfer RNA, 73 nt
Filed under: Zingiber officinale
Lineage: Eukaryota; Viridiplantae; Streptophyta; Magnoliopsida; Zingiberales; Zingiberaceae
Rfam family: tRNA
About the family: Transfer RNA (tRNA) molecules are approximately 80 nucleotides in length.
Source: Rfam by way of RNAcentral
GUGGGGAUAGCUCAGUUAGGAGAGCGUUCAACUGAAGAUCUAAAGGUCGCGUGUUCAAUCCACACUCACCGCA